RNAcentral lists this ribosomal RNA (468 nucleotides) under uncultured bacterium. Its description in RNAcentral is "partial 16S ribosomal RNA". It matches the Rfam family "Bacterial small subunit ribosomal RNA", at positions 28 to 507 of the family's 1533-position model. The record is from RNAcentral.
GACGAACGCUGGCGGCGUGCUUAACACAUGCAAGUCGAACGGAAAGGCCCUGCUUUUGUGGGGUGCUCGAGUGGCGAACGGGUGAGUAACACGUGAGUAACCUGCCCUUGACUUUGGGAUAACUUCAGGAAACUGGGGCUAAUACCGGAUAGGAGCUCCUGCUGCAUGGUGGGGGUUGGAAAGUUUCGGCGGUUGGGGAUGGACUCGCGGCUUAUCAGCUUGUUGGUGGGGUAGUGGCUUACCAAGGCUUUGACGGGUAGCCGGCCUGAGAGGGUGACCGGCGACAUUGGGACUGAGAUACGGCCCAGACUCCUACGGGAGGCAGCAGGGGGGAAUAUUGCACAGUGGGCGGAAGCCUGAUGCAGCAACGCCGCGUGCGUGAUGACGGCCUUCGGGUUGUAAACCGCUUUCGCCUGUGACGAAGCGUGAGUGACGGUAAUGGGUAAAGAAGCACCGGCUAACUACGUG